AACAUGUCUUUUUGAUAAUAAUUUAAAGUCUAAUCUGCCCACUGAAUUAUUUUAAAGGGCUGCAGUAUAUUGACUGUACAAAGGUAGCAUAAUCAUUAGUCUUUUAAUUGAAGACUUGUAUGAAUGAUUUGAUGAAAUAUAAACUGUCUCUUUAUUAAUAAUAGAAAUUAAUUUUUUAGUUAAAAAGCUAAAAUUUAUUUAAAAGACGAGAAGACCCUAUAGAGUUUUAUAUUUAAAUUUAUAUUAAUUUUUUAUAAAAUUUAUAUUUAAUAUUUUUUUAAUUAUUUUAUUGGGGUGAUAGAAAAAUUUAUUAAACUUUUUUUAAAAUUUUUACAUUAAUAUAUGAAAUUUUGAUCCAUAAUUUAUGAUUAAAAGAUUAAAUUACCUUAGGGAUAACAGCGUAAUUUUUUUUUUUAGUUCUUAUAAGAAAAAAAGUUUGCGACCUCGAUGUUGGAUUAAGAUAAAAUUUAAAUGCAAAAGUUUAAAAUUUUGAUCUGUUCGAUCAUUAAAAUCUUACGUGAU
RNAcentral lists this ribosomal RNA (522 nucleotides) under Pieris brassicae (large cabbage white). RNAcentral describes it as "partial 16S ribosomal RNA". The stretch from base 392 to 522 matches the Rfam family "Bacterial large subunit ribosomal RNA", at positions 2473 to 2604 of the family's 2925-position model. The record is from RNAcentral. Lineage: Eukaryota; Metazoa; Arthropoda; Insecta; Lepidoptera; Pieridae.